ACACACACACACACACAGUGGCAGAGGCCGUGUAGGUGGCGCACGUAUCGGGAAUAGCUGGCAGGGGAGGGACGGGGUGUGAGAGGAAGCCUGUGUAGUGUUCGUGUGACCCUCGUUGCUAAUACCACCAUCACCACCACCACCAUUAUACAGCGCCACACUCCCUGACCACAGAGGAAGGUGUAUCUAAACUGCUACCAGAGUGAACACUUAUUUCCUGGACAGGCGCGGGUCUCAGCUCAGGAUUUAUCAGUGUCAAGGAUAUCAGCGUGUGGGGCGAGGCAGCAUGACGGUCGGAAGUUAGGCAGCAAUUAUCGUGAUGCAGUGGAAGUGAAGGUGUCAGGCGCCGCCAUGGGUGCAGCGCGGCCCCGGGUUGUCAGCCUCCUGGCGGUGCUGGUGCCGGUGCUGCUGGUGCUGUUAGCUAGUCUCGUCACUGCUGCGCCUGACUAUGAGCAUCCGUGGGUGACCGCCCAAGGAUCAGCCUCGUCUGGGCAGCCUACCACCUCCUUUAACAUCACGGCAGCACUGGCAGGACUGGAGGAGAGCAAGGUGGUGUCGGAGGGGCCUCGUCUGGUGUCCCGUAGUUACUCCCGUCUCAUUCUGUCCAGGGGUUCCACGACGACUCUCAACUGCACUGUGAAGCAAGCUGGGGAUGUGGCAGUGUCCUGGGUGCGGGGAGAUGAAGUGCUGGCCAUGGGGAGGUACAAGUACACGAGUGACGAGCGGGUGGCGGUGCUGCAUGAGAUGGGAUCUAGCAACUACGGCCUGCGAGUGUCCCACCUGCAGCCUGAGGACUCUGCCAUAUAUGAGUGUCGGGUGAACACGGAGCCACAGCAGGUAGCCAAGGUGAAGCUGGUUGUCAUAGAUGCCUACUCGGUAAUCUUUGGCGCCUCGGAGGUGCGCGUGACGGCGGGAGGGACGCUGUACCUGCUGUGUCUGGUGCUGCAGGUGACAGACGUGCCAGAAUACAUCCUGUGGUACCACAACACAGACAUCAUUGAUUAUUCCAAGCACUCGAUCACAGUCAAGACUGAGGAAGAGACACGUUCCAGUGAGCUGCAGGUCCACAACAUCAGCUUCAGUGACGCUGGUAACUACACCUGCCACCCCUCCAAUGCCGCGCCCUCCUAUGUCAUGGUGCACGUCGCUAAUGAUACCAACAAGAGGUCUGGCAAGGCACAGAAGUGUGAUGACUGUGUGUUGUUCAUUCAGCUUGGUGCCACUUUUGCCUUCUUUUGCCUCAGUUUCCUGACAGCGUUCUGCAUACACAGCCACGACCACAGUGUGGAGGAGCCGCCAUCACUGGAUGACUAUGAUCAAUACUAUGAGUACUACAGUGAUGCCAAGUUGUUGUAAAACCAAACAGUAGUGGAGGCCAAGAUGAUAUUGAUGUUGAGAAGCCACACAAGAUGAAGCAACUGUCACAGGACUUGGUGGUGGCAUGACAUUGGGAACAGCCACAGCAUGCAGUGUUGAAGCCUGCUGGUUAAGAGAGCUUGUGAUGGGCAAAAAAAGUGAGUCCCCAGCAUUGCCUGCAUAAGUGUGGUGUGGAUUCACUUGUCUUGCAAGUUAUCUGCACCCAGCCUCUUGCCUGUUUAAGAUGCCCUCCCCUCCCUCUGUACCACCAUUGGAGAGGAUUAAGAAAGGGGCUCCCAUUGGUCAAAGAAACUCGGAUCACAGCUUACCAAGGUCCUAUAUACCAAUUGGACUUCAUCUUGCCUGCCUAGGAAACUGUAUUCUGCUUUCAACAUUCUUCUGUACAAAGUGGACCAUUGUCUGCCUGCUGAGGAUGUCCUUUUCCACUACUGAACAGGAUCAUGGAAGUGGCAUGCCUAACAAACCAGCCACCUUCCUGAGUGCAGUAAUUGGAUCAGCCUGGACAGUUCUACCUCACCAC
RNAcentral lists this unclassified non-coding RNA (1897 nucleotides) under Portunus trituberculatus (swimming crab). Its description in RNAcentral is "basement membrane-specific heparan sulfate proteoglycan core protein-like, transcript variant X4". The record is from RNAcentral. Lineage: Eukaryota; Metazoa; Arthropoda; Malacostraca; Decapoda; Portunidae.